RNAcentral lists this transfer RNA (75 nucleotides) under Mycobacterium avium. Its description in RNAcentral is "tRNA-Asp". It matches the Rfam family "tRNA". From Rfam's summary of the family: Transfer RNA (tRNA) molecules are approximately 80 nucleotides in length. Their secondary structure includes four short double-helical elements and three loops (D, anti-codon, and T loops). The record is from RNAcentral. Lineage: Bacteria; Bacillati; Actinomycetota; Actinomycetes; Mycobacteriales; Mycobacteriaceae. RNAcentral also lists the same sequence under 1 other name.
GACCGUGAAGCUCAGCCUGGUCCGAGCGCCCGCCUGUCGAGCGGGAGGCCGCGGGUUCAAAUCCCGUCACGGUCG